This 6658-nucleotide long non-coding RNA is filed under the name Taeniopygia guttata (zebra finch). RNAcentral's name for it is "lncRNA (ENSTGUG00000023314.1)". The record is from RNAcentral. Lineage: Eukaryota; Metazoa; Chordata; Aves; Passeriformes; Estrildidae.
GAAGCUCCCACAUUCAUAGGGGAUAAGAGAGUUUUUCAACAUCUUGGACAGAGGAGGGACAAACCUGGGUUUUUUUUUUUUUAUAGCUUGUCAAUAUUAGUGUCAGCUGUAUUUGAAGUGAAACUCUCUUCAAUUCUAAAAGGAUUUUUCAGUUAAGAAAAAAACAAAGCCAGCAUUCCAAGGUUGUUUUUUAGCAUCCAAAAAGCUUAAAACUAACAAGGAGGAUCUCCACCAGGUAAAGUGCAUUUGGCUGUUGAGGUUUUCCAGUGUCAAAGGUGAAGUAUGGGCUGUAGCCCAGAUUAGCAAAUUCUCUGGGGGGAAGGGGAUAGCCCAUGUGUAGAAAAGAGGAGCAGAGCCAGCAGAUGUCAAGGCUUUGAAAGACAGAAAAAGAUAGGGGGAUGGAAGAAAGACAAGGAGUUCCUGAAGCGGACUGUAACAUUUAAGAGGACUGACUUAACUGUUUUAAAAGAUUUGAAGAACUUAUAGCAGUAUGGUUAUAAAAAUUCAGUUGAUAUUGAUAAUUUUAUGAUCAUGCCUUUAUUAAUAGCUAAUUAAUUUUUCUUGAUAUUCUGGGUCUCUUAGAGCCCAUUUCUUCCUACUCUUAAAAGAAUUUAAUAUCUUCUGAAAUGGAUUUUUUAACGUAUGGAUGGAGAGAAAUUGCAGUAUUGACUAAGUGUGUGUAGAUGAGGGACAGAAUAGCAAGUUCUUUCUCCAUCUGGGCUAAGGAUUUUGAAGGAGUUGGUUUUCAAUCUUCUGGAAAAAGAGAAUGCAGUCUCCUGAAUCCUCUAGAAUUGUUUCUUCUUGGAGAAUUGUAGAAUUUGUCCUGUUUAAUGUCAUCACUUAAUUUGUGCUUAAAAACUUGUUGCAAAAUGAAUUUGUUCAACUAAAAUAAAAGGCUUAAUUUCUGUCUGUAGUCAGUGAAGAGAGGUAGGUACUACUGAAAAGCCUGCAGUAGUGAUCCUGGUUUUUGCUGUAGUGGCAUUCAGGGUUAUUUAUCUCUGUUCCUUUUCCAGGGAACUUAUAAUAAGUCUCACUUUCUGGGUGUCCAACACAUAGAACAGAAACUGGAGGGUCAGCAUUUGUGGACUGGAUUACUUCAGUUUUUCAUACUGGGUGCAAGUUUUGACUGCAUACCUUGACCAAAAGCAAACAUGUAAGCUAUGAAAAAAGCUCCUUUAAAAUCUGUCAGGGAAUGGGUCUUUUUCUGGCCUUCAAUGAAUGCUGGUUUUCUCUUUAAUGAAAUUCAAAAUUUGUUUUCAAAAUCAAGUCUGUCCAGUGACAAUAGAGGAAGUUGAAAUUUUUUAGCUUUAAAGGAUUCUUUUCUAAAGACACAAAACCUUAGCACAGAGCUUUGGAAUUACCUACACAAAUUCUGAGCACUAUUUGACUUCAAAGCAUUUCAUACAUAUCCACUGACCAAUCCCCUUCACUGCUCCCUUGCCAGAAAAGAGCCACUCUUGAGAGAGAAAGCUAUCACAAGACAGUGUGAAAACUGGGAAUUCAAGCAAAAGUUUUCAUUAGAAUUUGUAGUUUUCUUUGGUGCUUUUUACAUGUUAAAAAAAAACCCAAAAAGUCUCUUGCUUUCUACCUCUGCAUUUAAAAUAGUGAGAGUGGUGAUGAAGGAGAAAGAUGAGAGUUUCUAAUAACAGGGUUAGACCCUUGUGAAGACUUAUGCAAAUAUCCCAUGAAAUUAAUAUAUAAUGAAUGGUCAUGGAGCAUUUCUGAGGCAGCCUCAGCAUGCCAAUAUAUGUCAGCCUAGCUGAAUGAUUAUUUUCUUUGUGGACUUAAAUUUCCAUUUAUAAAUUAGCAUCAGGACAGCCUAACAUAUUUCACUCCAGCUGGUUAUUUAGAUGCUAAAGGUCAUGUCCAUAGAGAACUUUUAUGGAGUGCUUUUCUUUAUUUCAACACAUAUGCUCAGCACUUUUGAUAGUUAAUGUUAUCUAAUUGACAGUUUCUAGCUAAAUUUAUCUCCUCCCCCAAAUUUUCAGUGUUUAUUUAAUCACUGAAAUGUUUUUAAGUUAUAAACCAGAAUAAAUACAGGUCUGUUUGAGUUAGUGUUCAUGUUCUUUAAUGCAGUUACUUUAUUGCUGUAGUACCACAGUCUCAGGACAAAUAACCACUGAAUUCAUGUUUGGAGUAAUGAAAUUCAUAGUGGAGGGCUUAAUUAGCUGCAGUUCACUCUCCUCUGGUUUGGUUUUGCCUUUGGGGUCAAACAACCACUGCAAGGUCCUGCCCUUGGUUCUGUUCAUGGUUCCCUUAAUUUUCAAUUCCUUUGAGAUGCCUAAAUUGCCCUAAACUACUGUUCUUUGUCCAGAUAUUCCCAUAUUUGCUUGGUCACCUUUCCAUGACCUGACUGCAUCUCUUCCAUGUACUGUGCAGUCAGUGCAGACAGGGAUUCACAAAUAUAUCCAGCACUGCCAUUCCAUUUAUCCAGGAGUGGGAAUUGUGCUCACACAUUCAUUCCAGUCGAUUUUCUCAGCCUUUUAUGAGGACUGCUAUGCACCCACCCAGACAUGUUACAGAUGACAGAAUAUUUUGUUUCAGAAGGAACAGCUGGAAGUAUCCCUGAAUAAUUCCUGUUCAAAGCAGGAUUAUCAUGAACCUCAUGGUAAGGUCAGUUAUAUAUUUCUCUUGCUGGAUAUUGAAAACAUCUGGUGAUGGAUAUAUUACAGCUGCUCUGGAAUGCCUUCUCAACUGCUGUAUAUCACUCCUAAGGAAAACAACCAAGCAAACAAUAACAAAAAUUAAAAAAACCUCCAAUUUAACCUUUCUGAGCUGCAGUUUCUUUCUGAUGCGAUUUUUUUAUUCCACCUUUUUAUUCCAUGGGGUUGUUCUUACUUCUGGUACAGUUGCUUUUCCAUGCUUUCAGACAGCUCUUUGUCUUUCUUGGUUUUUUUUUUUUGUGCCAGGCUAGACAAGCCUGACUCAGUCUGUGCUCAGAAGCUGUGUGUUUAGACCCACUCACCAUCUUGGUGAUCUUUUUUUGGGCACCCUCAAGUUUCUCAACCCUGAACUGGGUUUAAGAGUCACCAGGAACUGGCAAACUGCAUUGGAUGCUAGCUCUGCUGCAGACUGGUGCCUUUUUCCUGUUCAGGAGAGCCUCUGGCUGCUGGAACUCAUCACAUCCUCUCCCUGUCUGAAGCUCUAAUCUGGAGAGCUGGAGCUUUUCUCCUGUUGCCACAAUUGCAAUCUUCCAGUGCCCUGUGAAUUAAUUUUUACUUUGGGCACAGAUAUUGAGGAAACCUAGAGUGACUAAGGCUGCUGAUGUUUCUUCUCUGUUUUAGGAAGACUGUAUAACACAUCUGCACUUCCCCAAGAGAAAUCCAUGCACGGAAUAGAAAUGCUUAUGAGAAGAGUUUAAUCAGUGUUGAACAGUUAGAAUACUUUAAAUGCAGAUGAGUCAAGCCUUCCCCUCAUAGGACAAAAGCAUAAAGAAUAAAUAUGUAUAAACUCAUCUUAUGCAAAAGGUCAGAUUAAAUUAACUUCUGCUACAACCUUGAAACUUGAUUUCUCUGCUUCUGAAAAUUCAAUUCUCCACUUUCACCCAAAGUGUUGCAAGAUGCUCUUAUCUGAGUGGCAACCUAACCAUAUCUUUCUGAAAUGGAUUUCCACACAUAUUCCAUAAGUCCAGUGUCUAUAUGCUAAUUGAAGUGAGUUUCAUGUCUUCAAGUAUAUUCUGCUUCUUCAAAUAUGAAACUGUGAUACAAUUCUUACUACAAUCCACCAUGCCUUCCAGUCUCUGAAAGAUAUCACUACAAACACAAACGACUUAUCCAAAGGAACAAAAAAACCCCUCUUCUCCACAUGAAAGUCUUCAGUAAUUCUCUUUUAUUUUGGAGUGGGUGAUUGGAAUAUUGUGACGGCUUUUUUUAUGCAUCCUGUAAAUGGGGUCACACUAAUAAGUGUAACAGCUUUUGGUGCUGAAAACUUCAUUAUUUCAAGGAACGAAUUUAAGAAGUUUAUCAUUCCUUCCUGAAAGCAUAAGUGCUAUUAGGGAUCUCUCUAUUUUAGCCCUGGAGACACUUACUCUUUGCUACUUUUAUAUGGACAAGACCAUGUGCAUCAUUCUCAGCUGUGCAAAGAGGCCAAGGCAUUUCUGAUACUAUCAAAUAUGCAGCUACAUGUGUGGAAAAGGCUGAGUGGGAAUGUUUUUGAUGCAAAAAGAGUCAUCACUUUCAGUAAAAAUGCUAAUUUAAAGUAUAGUUCUUGUGUGUAACCACUUCCAUAUGAUGUAUACCCCAAAUAUAUACGUACACAGAAAGUGUCUUUUCCCAUAAGAGCUGUAUGUUAUUUCCAUUGUGUUUCCAUACAGAAUAUAUAUAUAUAUAUAUACACCAUCCCACCAUACUUGGGAGGAAGCUGGUGUUCAGCCUAACAGGUUUCUGUUGCUUUUGGGGACAGGUUACGUUGGUUGUCCUCGAGAGCUCCUGUGAAAGAGCCAUUCUUGGCUUCAUCCUCGUUGGAGGAGGGAGGUUGUUUUGUGUGGUGAUUUGUCGACCUCUUGGCACACCAUUAGCUGACAAAGCUUAUCUAAGCAGUCCUGAGUUUGAUGUGUGUAAUCUACCAUCCCCAUGGUUUCUGUGGUCAAUGCAACCUGUCAAACUGAGCUGCCCUGUCUCCUAAGACAGGAAACCUGUCACCAUCUCUUAAUUUUCCUUGACAUCCAUCCUCUUCAACCAAGCACUCAUUUUUUAAGCUGGUAGAUCAAUGAUUUAUCAGCUUAUCCACUCUUCUUAUGAAUUUUAGUCUUCUAUAUAUAUUUGACUAUGCAUCCAGUUUGGGAAAUUAGCUCUUUCCCUUUUUCUGCAGUUAAAUCUUCUUAUGAAACAUGAAGGAGAUCAGUCAAGAAGUCUGGGCAAGCCAUGGUAUUCCUUUACCACUGCAUGUCUGAGAAAAAAAACCCCACCACUGAAGACCCACUAGUAUUCAUAGAGUGUUCUGUGUUCGUUUUCUACUGUGUUUGUUUUGCCAAGAAAAAACAUACACUGAUGUUUUGUCCCAUUCCUUUUUGGGUAUCCAGGUGAGUCAGAGUCUACAUAUAGCUCUGACAGACUGAGGAGAAGGCAAAGAUAAACCCUCCUCCUGUCUAGGACGUGACAGGGAUAUACCCCACUGAGAUGGCAGUAAUGACAGAGAAAUCAAAAAGAGCACCUUCCAAAAUCCUAUCCAAUUUAUCAAAAUAAAUCACUCCAUAAUAUUGUUGGAUUUUUGGCAAAAGUAUCAGGUCAAAACACAGAUCAGCAUAUUCCAAAACACAAAGUUCAGAAGUAAAUUGAAAAUUAUGUUGAUAUUUUUCUACAUGGAUUUGUCUCUAAUAAUAAGAGUCCUUAAAAGAGGAACAGUUUAACCUAAAACUUGUUUUCUCAGACUUGAAUAAUGAAUCUAUUUAUUAUUAUCUUAGACUCUAGCACCAAUCAUCUUUAUAACUCCCUUAAAAUAUAAUCAAGUCCUUUAAAAAAAUAAAAAUCUGAUCUUAAAUCUCUAUCUUUCAGUUAGACAAUUAUCCACAGCAUCUGAGACAGCAGACAAUUAAACUUUCUCUAUAUACAGAAUUACCUUCAAUGAACAGUACAAGCCUUAAGUGGGAAAGACUUGUCUGGUGGGAGAUCUUCUUUCUUGUUUAGAGGAAGUUUAUGUUGAUGAGUCUAAUUUAGCCAAUAAAGAAAGUAGGUGAAUUCUGUCCUCUUUCUUAGCCCUGCAAAUUCAGGCACUUAAAAUUAAUCAUUCUAGUUUGUGUAACAAACAAAACGCAUCUCUGAGGCAGGUUUUGAUUGAUGUCUUAUCUUUCCCUGUAUGAAAUGUACAAACACAGUUACUCUGGUUUUGACACUGGAACCAUAUUCUUGGUUUAAUGACGCUUUCUUCAAAGUGUGUUAAAAUUGUAACUCUCAAAAUCAGACUUUGAUUUUUCAUAAUAGUUAAAGUUAACAAUGGCAGCAGAAGUAACCACAUUUUUAUAGUAUCUAUUCAAAUGAACACCUUACACUGCUUAAUUCCUAGCUCAAUGGUAACACCUAAAAUUGCACCUUCACUGUUCCUCAACUGACAUGUGGACUAGAACUCAAUGGACAGGAGCAUAGUGAUGUGAAGAUCCUUAGCCUGUGUUUCAGAGUUGUUUUUUACUUAUUUAUUAAAUAUUUAGAAAAUACCUCUUGGAAUUUACCCCUACUUUUUCCUGUAAAUAAUUAGCUCUGAAAGUGGUUUUUUGUAUGCACACUGUUACAAUUUUUAUUUAACAAAGGCAAGGCUAUAAAAUUUUUUGAAUGAAAUAGUAUGGUUUGAGGUUUUUUCAGAUAAGCAAUUGCCAAAUAAUUUUGGGCUGAGUUUCAAAUGAGUAAUUUCAGCUUGAAGCAUUUCAAAUUGAUGGGGUUUUUAAUAAUAAAAAAACUAUACAAAAUCAAGAGAUUGGCCCCUGAACUUGAUAACCAUUUGUAUUCUUGCAAAGUGGAUGUAAAAUACUAGCAUUGGAUUCAUGCCCAUGUUUGUGCACACAGGCUGCAAAGCAAAGCAUCAGAGAUAUAUCCUUCUCCAAGUACUUCCUUUGGGGCUGAUUGUUCAGGGCAAGCAAUAUGCAUGAUAUAACUGGUGCAUGUAACAGUAACUACAACAUUCUGCAAAUUUGAAUUUAUACAGUAACUUGAUAUCAAGGCUGAACUUU